AUUUUUAAUAACAGUUGAUGAGGUAACGUUCAGCUGGACUGGCAGAGAAACAUUUCCAUCUUUUGGUGCUGCUUGUAACAGCAUAGUUGAAAUUGAAGGCUUUGUGUUUGUUCUUUUUUACAUAUGCACGGGAACUUGGUUAAAGAAUGGAAGUCUUGCAUUAUUUUAAUAUGUUAAAACGUGCUUAUAUAUUUCUGUUGUUGUUGAACUUCCUGCUUAUUCUGUUGGGUUAUAUGAGAAUUUGAAUGGGUCUCACAGAGAAUGCCUAUUGAAGCAGGAUUCCCAGCUUGCAGCAGUGAGGGGUUUUGGCUCAGCUGGGAUGCCUGUGCUGGCUGAUACUGACACAGCUGCUGGUUACCUUUAGCACCUCGUUUCAGGAACAUGUGUUUAAAAAAUAAGUGCACUUGUACAGAACUGCUCAUAAAAGGAGGGCUUAAAUCUGUAAUGAUGUACGUUAACGAUACUUGAAUAUAUAAGUUAUUUUGGGUUCUUCUGAACACUUUUGUGCAUUUUUUUCUGCAUUCGUGCUGCAGAAGUUUUAGCUGCCAGUUAACAAAAAUAAUCCAUCAAGAUAAGGCUGGUUAUCCUGUACAUUAGAACAGAAUUUCGUGCCUCACCAGUUUAGCUUGGGAAAUAUUUAGAAUGUGAUUUGGCAAGCGUUGAGAAGCUCUAUACUGAGUAGUACUUGCAAUAGAAGUGAAGCAUGAGGAAUGUUGUGAAGAAAAUGCACAUCUAGCACAUGAGAAAUGGCUAUAACUGUGCUUCAUUGUUGCAAGCAGUUUGUUUUAGUGCAGUGGCUGCAGGCGAAGUAGGGUCGGUGCAGGGAGGAGCCUGGCAUUACAGAGCUGUGAGUGUGAGCCCGAAUGAUUUUGCUACUGAAGGGGUGGAAAUGAGUAAGUGUAAGCAAUCUGCGCCACGCUUUCAUCUGAACUGUUGGUUAUUUCUCCUUUAGAGCUCUGUCUUAGUGGCUACUGAAGAAACAGAGCACAUAAUACUCCAGAGCUUCAAAAUCAGAAGUAAAAUCAUUUGGACAGUUGCCACCUGCCCUCCUAAAUAGGAGGAAAGUGGGAUUAUCGGUGCCUGCCUCAUUUACUUCACCAAAAUGAGAUAGGGCAUGCAGGAGAGAAGGGAUAUUUUUGCAAGUGGAAGCUACAAUGAUGAGCACUGAAGGAGGAAGAGAGUCUCCAUUCAAGUAGUUCAAAAAGUUACAGUAAGUCAAAUUCCUGGGAG
Gallus gallus (chicken) is the source of this 1230-nucleotide long non-coding RNA. Lineage: Eukaryota; Metazoa; Chordata; Aves; Galliformes; Phasianidae. The record is from Ensembl.